This is a long non-coding RNA of Herpailurus yagouaroundi (jaguarundi), 394 nucleotides long. RefSeq lists it as uncharacterized. NCBI's taxonomy places the organism in Eukaryota, Metazoa, Chordata, Mammalia, Carnivora, Felidae. The record is from RefSeq and is a predicted model, not a curated record. The transcript is spliced from 3 exons.
UGGGUGCACUUGGAUUUGCCUUGCCUUAUCUUCUGGUAAACCAGAAUAAGAACAAAUAAUCUGAACCAUCAUAAAAAGAAAGUGUCAUUAAAGGUUGCUCAUGCUUGAAGAAACCAGCCCUCAUGUUAUGGUGGUACUCGGGCAACUCAAGAAGAGGAACUGAAGCUUCCUUCCAACAGCACCAGGUUAGUGAACUAUCUCAGAAACUGACCCUCCCACUCCAAUUAAACCUUCACAUACCUGCUGACAUCCUAACUACGACCUUAUCAGAGACCCUAACUCAAAACCACCCAGGUAAGCCAUACCUGAAUUUCUGACCCAUGGAAACUGUAAGGCAAUAAAUGUUCAUUUUAAACUAAGUUUUAGAGUACAGUGGACUCUAGAACAACAUGAG